RNAcentral lists this ribosomal RNA (450 nucleotides) under uncultured bacterium. RNAcentral's name for it is "partial 16S ribosomal RNA". It matches the Rfam family "Bacterial small subunit ribosomal RNA", at positions 354 to 796 of the family's 1533-position model. The record is from RNAcentral.
GUGGGGAAUUUUGGACAAUGGGCGAAAGCCUGAUCCAGCCAUGCCGCGUGCAGGAUGAAGGCCUUCGGGUUGUAAACUGCUUUUGUACGGAACGAAAAGACUCCUUCUAAUAAAGGGGGUCCAUGACGGUACCGUAAGAAUAAGCACCGGCUAACUACGUGCCAGCAGCCGCGGUAAUACGUAGGGUGCAAGCGUUAAUCGGAAUUACUGGGCGUAAAGCGUGCGCAGGCGGUUAUAUAAGACAGAUGUGAAAUCCCCGGGAUCAACCUGGGAACUGCAUUUGUGACUGUAUAGCUAGAGUACGGUAGAGGGGGAUGGAAUUCCGCGUGUAGCAGUGAAAUGCGUAGAUAUGCGGAGGAACACCGAUGGCGAAGGCAAUCCCCUGGACCUGUACUGACGCUCAUGCACGAAAGCGUGGGGAGCAAACAGGAUUAGAUACCCGGGUAGUCC